RNAcentral lists this long non-coding RNA (218 nucleotides) under Lathyrus oleraceus (garden pea). RNAcentral describes it as "Pisum sativum (pea) long non-coding RNA (PSAT_LNC014726)". Lineage: Eukaryota; Viridiplantae; Streptophyta; Magnoliopsida; Fabales; Fabaceae. The record is from RNAcentral.
ACAAUCUUACAUAUUAUAAUACAUUACAUUUUUUUAUUUUAAUUUGAAUUCUGACAUGUGAUCAUUUUAACAGCAAUUGAAUGGCCAAAGACAUAAUAAGGUGUUGAGUGGGUAAAAAACUUUCUCCACACACAUUUCUUUAGAAAAACUAUAUUCUUAAACACUUAACCAUGGCUAAUUACAAUGAUUAGAGUUUAUUCUCUUGCACAAUGUAGAAU